Molecule: ribosomal RNA, 637 nt
Filed under: uncultured bacterium
Lineage: Bacteria
Description: bacterial SSU rRNA
Rfam family: Bacterial small subunit ribosomal RNA
Source: RNAcentral
GCUCAACCGAGGAAGUGCUUCGAAAACUGGUAAACUUGAGUGCAGAAGAGGAAAGUGGAACUCCAUGUGUAGCGGUGGAAUGCGUAGAUAUAUGGAAGGACACCAGUGGCGAAGGCGGCUUUCUGGUCUGUAACUGACGCUGAGAUUCGAAAGCAUGGGUAGCAAACAGGAUUAGAUGCCCUGGUAGUCCUUGCCGUAAACGAUGAGUGCUAAGUGUUGGAGGGUUUCCGCCCUUCAGUGCUGCAGCUAACGCAUUAAGCACUCCGCCUGGGGAGUACGAUCGCAAGGUUGAAACUCAAAGGAAUUGACGGGGGCCCGCACAAGCGGUGGAGCAUGUGGUUUAAUUCGAAGCAACGCGAAGAACCUUACCAGGUCUUGACAUACCAUGAAAAGCUUAGAGAUAAGUCUUUCCCUUCGGGGACAUGGAUACAGGUGGUGCAUGGUUGUCGUCAGCUCGUGUCGUGAGAUGUUGGGUUAAGUCCCGCAACGAGCGCAACCCUUAUUAUCAGUUGCCAGCAUUCAGUUGGGCACUCUGGUGAGACUGCCGGUGACAAACCGGAGGAAGGUGGGGAUGACGUCAAAUCAUCAUGCCCCUUAUGACCUGGGCUACACACGUGCUACAAUGGAUGGUACAACG